UUGAUAUCCUAAGAACCUUAUAGAGAUAAGAGGGUGCUAGCUUGCUAGAACUUAGAGACAGGUGCUGCACGGCUGUCGUCAGCUCGUGUCGUGAGAUGUUGGGUUAAGUCCCGCAACGAGCGCAACCCACGUAUUUAGUUGCUAACGGUUCGGCCGAGCACUCUAAAUAGACUGCCUUCGUAAGGAGGAGGAAGGUGUGGACGACGUCAAGUCAUCAUGGCCCUUAUGCCCAGGGCGACACACGUGCUACAAUGGCAUAUACAAUGAGACGCAAUACCGC
This 280-nucleotide ribosomal RNA is filed under the name Allotamlana fucoidanivorans. Its description in RNAcentral is "Tamlana fucoidanivorans Bacterial small subunit ribosomal RNA". It matches the Rfam family "Bacterial small subunit ribosomal RNA", at positions 981 to 1258 of the family's 1533-position model. The record is from Rfam by way of RNAcentral. Lineage: Bacteria; Pseudomonadati; Bacteroidota; Flavobacteriia; Flavobacteriales; Flavobacteriaceae.